RNAcentral lists this ribosomal RNA (226 nucleotides) under uncultured Nitrobacter sp. Its description in RNAcentral is "partial 16S ribosomal RNA". It matches the Rfam family "Bacterial small subunit ribosomal RNA", at positions 1259 to 1485 of the family's 1533-position model. Lineage: Bacteria; Pseudomonadati; Pseudomonadota; Alphaproteobacteria; Hyphomicrobiales; Nitrobacteraceae. The record is from RNAcentral.
UACCCCUAGCAAAUCUCAAAAAACCGUCUCAGUUCAGAUUGCACUCUGCAACUCGGGUGCAUGAAGGUGGAAUCGCUAGUAAUCGCGGAUCAGCAUGCCGCGGUGAAUACGUUCCCGGGCCUUGUACACACCGCCCGUCACACCAUGGGAGUUGGUUUUACCCGAAGCCGGUGUGCGAACCGCAAGGACGCAGCCGACCACGGUCAGGUCAGCGACUGGGGUGAAG